Molecule: ribosomal RNA, 492 nt
Filed under: uncultured bacterium
Lineage: Bacteria
Description: partial 16S ribosomal RNA
Rfam family: Bacterial small subunit ribosomal RNA
Source: RNAcentral
AGUGAACGCUGGCGGUAGGCCUAACACAUGCAAGUCGAACGGCAGCACAGUAAGAGCCUGCUCUUACGGGUGGCGAGUGGCGGACGGGUGAGGAAUACAUCGGAAUCUACUUUUUCGUGGGGGAUAACGUAGGGAAACUUACGCUAAUACCGCAUACGACCUGCGGGUGAAAGCAGGGGAUCUUCGGACCUUGCGCGAUUGAAUGAGCCGAUGUCGGAUUAGCUAGUUGGCGGGGUAAAGGCCCACCAAGGCGACGAUCCGUAGCUGGUCUGAGAGGAUGAUCAGCCACACUGGAACUGAGACACGGUCCAGACUCCUACGGGAGGCAGCAGUGGGGAAUAUUGGACAAUGGGCGCAAGCCUGAUCCAGCCAUACCGCGUGGGUGAAGAAGGCCUUCGGGUUGUAAAGCCCUUUUGUUGGGAAAGAAAAGCAGCAGGUUAAUACCCCGCUGUUCUGACGGUACCCAAAGAAUAAGCACCGGCUAACUUCGUG